Molecule: long non-coding RNA, 1612 nt
Filed under: Ananas comosus (pineapple)
Lineage: Eukaryota; Viridiplantae; Streptophyta; Magnoliopsida; Poales; Bromeliaceae
Description: long non-coding RNA (ACOM_LNC034239)
Source: RNAcentral
AGGGUGAUAGGUCCAAGUAAACUAUUAAUUAAAGUAUAAGGCCCCGUUUGGAUACCUCUAAAAACGUAGCAUAGUUAAACUAUGCUACGCCGAUAGGAAAAUAAUCCUAUGAAGCGUUUGGAAGAAAAAAAAAUGACGUAAUUUUUGGAGUAUAGUUAUACUAUACUCUAAAAAAUAGAGUAAACUUACAAUCCACUUUAACCAAAGGAAAAAAAUUCCACCAUUUUGGGCUCCCGAAGAUGUAUCAAUUUCUAAAUUUUAAAUUUCAACAUAAAAUUUUAAAUUUCAAAUUUUAAAAUUUUAAAAUUCAUUUUUAAUUUUGAUUUCAAAUUUCAAAUUUCAAAUUUCAAAAAGUUCAAAUUUCAAAUUUCAAAUUUCAAAUUUUAAUUUUAUUUUUAAUUUUUAAUUUUCAAUCUUCAAAAUUUAAAUUUAAACUUAAAUUUUAAAUUUUAAAUUUAUAAAUAUGUAAAUUUAUAAAUUAUUAAAUUUGAAAUUUAAAAUUUUAAUUAUAGAUUUUUUAAAUUUCAAAAUUUAAAGUUUAAAUGGUAUACUUUAAGUUUUAAAUUUUAAAGUUUCAAAUUUCAAAUUUGAAAUUUCAAAUUCCAAAUUUCAAAUUUCAAAUUUAAAACAUAAAAUCUAAUUUAAUUUUUAAAUUUUAAAUUUUAAUUUUUAAUUUUAUAUUUUGACUUUUGAAUUUUAAUUUUUAAAAUUUUAUUUUUAAAUUUUGAAUUUUGAAUUUUGAAUUUUAAAUUUUAUAAUUUUAGAAAUUUAAUUGUUAUAAAUCCUGUGGAAUUGUAUGAUACGUAUCCAAACAGCUUAAAAAUAAAGCUGUGGAAUUUUUUUAUAGUUAUAGGAUUCCGUAUUUCAUUUAGACCAAAACCAUAGAAUAAAAAUUCCAUGGAGUUUUUUAACUAUGCAUCCAAACAGGGCCUAAGUUUAGAGAGUCUAGCUACGGGAAUAAAAGUUUCGGGGGCCAUUUGACAAACGUCUAACGCCUGAGGGGUGUUUAUAUAAUUGGGUGUUCAUACAUUUAUAUUGCCAUUUUUAUUGAGCUAUCAUUUUAAUAAGGGUAAACUUCAAAUACCACUCAUAUAGUUUCGCAUUUUCUCAUUUUAGUACCUUAUGGUUUAAAGUAUAUAAAGUUAGUAUUUUAUGCUUUCAUUUUUAUCUUUUCGUUAGUUUUUUCGUUAAUAUUUCGUUAAAUUAUAUACAAAAAACUUCAAAUAUUCUACUUAGGUUUAUCGAAUAUUCACUUUAGUACCUUUUAGUUUUAACUUUGUCAUUGAUUUAACGAAAAAAAUUAAUAAAAUUGAUAAUAAAAAAAUAAAAAUAAAACUAUAGGACAGUAAAUUGAUAUAUCUUUUAAACUAUGGAGUACUAAAGUGAGAAAGUGUAUAUAUUUGAAGUUUUUCCUUUUAUAAUAAUAACCUAUCAUGUUAAUAAAUUAUAGCAAGUAUUGUUUUUUUUUUUUUUUUUUGAUAGAGAUAGAAAGUAUGCUACCCGCUUCGUUUAUUUCAUUUAGAAAUAAACUUAGCUAUAAAUAAAAAUCAACUAAGAUUCGAACUUAAAAUUUUAGGUAUCAACCACCGAGUCUUUUACCACCGGCUUUGGA